Molecule: transfer RNA, 72 nt
Organism: Camelus ferus (Wild Bactrian camel)
Lineage: Eukaryota; Metazoa; Chordata; Mammalia; Artiodactyla; Camelidae
Rfam family: tRNA
About the family: Transfer RNA (tRNA) molecules are approximately 80 nucleotides in length.
Source: Rfam
GAGGGUACAGCUCAGUGGUAGAAUGUCUGCUUAGCAUGCAUAAGGUCCUGGGUUCAAUCCCCAGUACCUCCA